AAAUCGUGACAUUUUGUUUAAUGGCUUCGUCUUUAAUUGUUGUAAAUUUACUUGUAUAAAAUAGAGAAAAACAAAGACUGAAACACCAAGAAUGGAUACAAAUUUCGAAAACACACAUUCUACAGAAGCGAAGAAAAAAGUUCAGCUAAUGGUGGAAUGCAUUAAGUACCAUCUUGAUGAUGAGGAAUGCCUUCGGAAAAGUCUUCUUGCAGUUGCUUCAUUAAGUGCUACUAACACUUUUGUUCAAGACUAUCUGAGAGAAUAUGGUUGUUUAAAGUUUAUAUUGAAUAUAUUCACUUCAAACAGCAGCUCUCAAAUAAAAGAGGCUACAAUGUUCUGCUUGGCUUGUGCAAUAGAUCAAAAUGUUUCUUCCCAAAAAUUCAUGACUACAUCUUUUGUCUUUGAACAUUUAAGCAAAAUACUGUCAUAUGACAUACAUACCAAUAACUUACAUCAUACAGCGACAUACUUCAUCUCCUGCAUAACCAAUAACAAUAGUUAUGGUCAGAUGAUUUGCAGAAAAUCCACUUGCUUGAAAAAUCUUCUUGCCUUAUUCAGAUCAAUAACAGACAAGAAGACAAAGGAAAGAGACAUUUUGGAAAAUGCCAUUGUACAGAAUGUUGAGCUUCUUGUUAUUGUCUGCAAUGCAAUAUGUACUUGUGUAAACAAUCCAAGAAACACUGAGAAUCAAGAAUAUUGUGCAAAAUAUGUUCUGAAUUUGAGUUUGCUAUUCAUCAAACAAUGCCAACAUCUUUUAGCUGUGCAAAGUGUAGUAAGACUUAUUGCAGUACUUGUUGCUUCUAAUGAGACCAACCAAAAUACAUUGCGAGAAAUGGAUGGAAUUGAUGUAUUAGUAAAGACAAUGAAGAUAUACACACUUGCUACAGACAAUGUUUAUAAUGCUGAAUAUUUGAAAACUGCUGUUUUAUUAACUUCAGCUCUUGAUACAUGUCUUUUGGAUAAUAUGACCAAUGCUGAAUUGUUUGGUAAUUAUGGUGGAAUAGAAAUUUUAGUGAAGCUACUUCAUCUCUGUCACAAUGAUACACCCAAUCAAAUCCAAAUAAUUCUUGCAAUAGCACAUGCUACAGACCAUUCUGAUAUCAACCAGCGAUAUUUUGUUGACUGUGGUGGCCUUGUUCUUGUGGUCAACUUGUUCAUUGAAUCUCCUGAAAAUACAGAACUACGAUCUGCUUUAAAGUAUGUCCUACAGAUUUGUGUCCCAGAUGGUUCCAAUCCUCUUAAUACCACAGAAAACAGUGUGGCUGACAGCCAAUUGAAUGAUUACCAAAUGCAACCCACCAAGGAAAACACAGAAUUACUCUCAGAAAAACUUGACUGUAUUCUUCAAAAGUUGGCCAAGUUAGAAAAUGAAGGGAUUAAAACCCACUCUACAACAAAUUCAUCAACAUCUAUAAAAGAAUUCCGACUGGACCAUGGCAGACACAAAGUAAAACAACACAUUUCUAGUUUCAAGAAGUUACACAGCUCUCGUCCUGAAAGCCAAAACUCAAAGACAUCCAAAUCAGCCAAUUGUAUCACUACUGAUCACAAUGGAACAUAUAUUUCAGCCCCUAAAAGUCUUACCAAUAUGGAUGAUUCCGCAUCUCAAUGCACUAAUUUCCAAGAAUAUGAUUAUAGAAAAAGAGAUUGCUUUUUAUCUGUGCCAGUCUCUGCUAAUAGUAGUAUAUUCUCACCACUGAACAAAAAAUUACUUCAUACUGCCAAUAUAUCCAAAAAAUUUGGAAUGUCAUCAAAAUACCGAUAUAAAGGUUUAGCUCCUGAAGAAUUGACAGAUCCCAGCUUACCUAAUAAUGCUAGGUUUUCAAGUGAAGUUUCAUACAGUCAUGCUUAUUUUGAUAAUUUGCCAAGGAAGCUGUUUGGCAGACCUUCUGCUCCUUCAAGAAAUGAACAUUACCAGCAAAACUUGAUACAGGAAAAUUCUCCAAUAUCAAAAAAGCCUUUACCUAAUUCUGCUUUGGAGCAGUCGACAUGUGAUUCACCAGUUCUUUUUCAAGAACCUUCAGCUUCAGGUGGAAAGAAUGAAGAAAUAUGGUCAACCACAGAAAGCCCUUCAAAUUUCAAAAAGAAAUUUCCAUCUUCUGAUAACCAAAAUAUCAUGUCAAACCAAAAUUCACUAAAUGUUACUGAGUGUUGCUGCACUUCUAAAAAGUUUACACAGUGUCCUGAACAUCACUCCACCAAAUCAUCGCUCUCCUUUUUUAUUAAAACACAAUGGCGAUCAGCGUAGGAGAAAGCGUUUAGAAUACUCAAAGGAAGAAGUUGAAUAUUUAAAAGAUGGUGUGCUUAAAAUGGGCAAGUCCUGGCAUCAAAUACGACAUGCUUAUGCGUUUCACCCAUCAAGAACAGCCGUAGACCUCUACAAUAAAUACAAACAAAUUAGGAAAAGUUCUUGUGAUAAAAGAC
This 2424-nucleotide unclassified non-coding RNA is filed under the name Octopus sinensis (East Asian common octopus). RNAcentral describes it as "telomere repeats-binding bouquet formation protein 1- like, transcript variant X2". Lineage: Eukaryota; Metazoa; Mollusca; Cephalopoda; Octopoda; Octopodidae. The record is from RNAcentral.